AUGGUGACAUCUGUCUGGUUCAGUCAGUGAAGGCAAUACAUACUAUACUCUAAAAGGAAAAGCAAAUUUGUUAAAAUAGGCAGCCAGAGAAUACUUAGCAAAAAUAGGACAAAUGAUAACCACAGAAAGCAAUGAACAUCAUUUGCUUAUCAUGCUAAUUCCUUUCUGAGAACUGUAGUACCCUAACCCCCAAAGGAACAUGGACAUCAUCCUACUUCCAUUAUAGAGCUAGUGGGUCAGCCUAUGGAUUUGCUUGAUGGGAUCAGAUUACUUCCUCUAUUACAAUAAUUCAGGCUCAGAAUCACAAUCCACAAGUUUCUGAAGAACUGAAGUUCUGGCUUAUCCACCAGGCAAUAAGAAAAGUGCAUGCAUGAGCAGCACAGUGUGGAUUUUCCCCAGAGGGCACUGCUCCUGUUACAUAACUCAGCAGCAUCACAUUAGCACAGCACGAGUGAUCACAGAUGGCAACGGCAGAGGCCAAACACAGGCCACUCGGGAGCUCCCUGAUGCCAGGCAAGGCCUUUGAAAAUAACAUUCUUACCCUAGAAAAGAAAAGGUCUCCAAGAUCCUAGCAUGUGCAAUGCAUCUAAUGGUUGAAGAGAGAAUUUAUUGCUGUCUCAUUUUCCAGGAGAAAAAAGGUCCAUGUUCAUCAAAAGCUACAUGACCUUGGGUAGGACAUAAACUGAGGAAUCUGUUUCUUCUUCAUCAGUAAUACAGAGAUGACAAUAUUUAAACUAUCUACCUCAUAGGGAU
Molecule: long non-coding RNA, 753 nt
Organism: Monodelphis domestica (gray short-tailed opossum)
Lineage: Eukaryota; Metazoa; Chordata; Mammalia; Didelphimorphia; Didelphidae
Source: RefSeq, a predicted model, not a curated record